Molecule: non-coding RNA, 1175 nt
Filed under: Ipomoea nil (Japanese morning glory)
Lineage: Eukaryota; Viridiplantae; Streptophyta; Magnoliopsida; Solanales; Convolvulaceae
Description: Eukaryotic small subunit ribosomal RNA
Rfam family: Eukaryotic small subunit ribosomal RNA
Source: Rfam by way of RNAcentral
UACCUGGUAUCCUGCCAGUAUCAUAUGCUUGUCCAAAAGAUUAAGCCAUCAUUGGAAGUAUAACUAAUUCAACUGGUAAACCUAGCAAUGCUCAUUAAAUACAUUAUAUUUUUGAUGGUACCUACUACUCGAUAUAACCGUAGAAUUCUAGAGCUCAAUACGGCUAACAACCCCGAUUUCGAAGGGAUGCAUAUUAAUAAUAAGUCACCGCGCCUUGCCUUGCUGCGAUGAUCCAUGAUAACAUCGUAUCGCAGCAUUACAGCCGGCGACCAUCAUUCAAUUUCGCCGCUAUUCAACUUUCGAUGUAGGAUAGUGCCUACCAUGGUGGGACGUGACGGAGAAUUAAGUUCGAUUCCGGGAAGCCUCCUGAAACGCUACCACUCCAAGAAGCAGCAGCGCCAAUUGACCCAAUCCUGACACGGACUAUGACGCCAAUAAAUAACAAUACCGGCUCUGAUCGAGCUGUAUUGAAUGAGUACAAUCUAAAUCCUUAACAGGAUACCAAUUAGGCCAUGUCUGGCCACAGCCCGCGGUAUAUUCCACUCCAAUAUGCGUAUAUUUAAGUUUUGCACGUUUAAAAAGCUCGUAUUUGAUCUUUGGAUGCCGGCCGGUCCGCCCCACUGUGCACCGUCGUCUCGUCCCUUUUCUGCCGCGAAUUGACACCUCCUGCCUUUUAUUGGCCGGUCUGCCUCCGCGCUCGUUACUUUAAAAAAUGAGUGCUCAAAGCAAAGCCUACCUCUGUAACAUUAGCAUGGUGAAUAAACAUAUAUGAUUUCGUCCUAUUACGUCUGCCUUUUACGGAUGGAGUAAUUAACAGCGACAGUCCGGGCGCAUAUCGUAUUCAUAGUCAAAAGUGAAAUUCUAGGAUUAUAAAGACUGAAUCAACUGCGAAACGCAUUUCCAAGGAAUGUUUUUCAUUAUUCAAGGAACAAAGUUGGGGCUCGAUAGACAUCAGUAUAUCCGUCCAGUCUCAUAACCAUAAACAUGCCGACCAGGAAUCGCCGAUUUGCUUUUAGACCCGCCGCACCAUUAUGAAAAUCAAAUCUUGGGUCCGGGGGCGAGUAUGUCGCACAGGCUGAAACUUAAAGCUUGACGGAUAGGGGCACACAGAGUGAGCCUCGCUCUAAUUUACCAACACGGGGAAACUUACAGUCCCAACAUAUAAAGCAUGACAC